GACGCGGUGGCCUAAUGGUAAUUAGCGCGCUGAGCUCGGGCCCGAGCGGCCCGGGUUUCGAGCCCUGGGCGGGGUGACUGUGUUU
This is a non-coding RNA of Desmophyllum pertusum, 85 nucleotides long. Lineage: Eukaryota; Metazoa; Cnidaria; Anthozoa; Scleractinia; Caryophylliidae. The record is from the annotation of a GenBank genome assembly.